Bactrocera neohumeralis is the source of this 232-nucleotide long non-coding RNA. RefSeq lists it as uncharacterized. Lineage: Eukaryota; Metazoa; Arthropoda; Insecta; Diptera; Tephritidae. The record is from RefSeq and is a predicted model, not a curated record. The transcript has 2 exons.
CGGCCUCUAGUCGUUAGGUUCGUUAUCACUACCACAUUUACAGCUCAACACAACUUUCACGACUGAAAAACCUGCCAAGCCAUGCUCCACCGCUGUAUCGAGUGAAUAAUGAAAUAAUGCGAGUCCAAAAAAUGCACGACUACAAUACGGAUAUGUUUAAAAGACAGUUGUUAAGAUUAUAUAAAUAUGUAUAAAAAUUAUUAAUAUCAAAUAAAUGUUUGCAUAUAUACAA